UAGUCUCGAGAGCGUUUUCCCGGCGGAUCCUCCCUGCCUAAGUAGCUUGGAACAGCUCAUCAGAGAGGGUGACAAUCCCGUUCGCGGCAGGGCGGGCCGUCCACGAUACGCUUUCCACGAGUCGGGUUGCUUGGGAAUGCAGCCCAAAAUUGGUGGUAAACUCCAUCUAAAGCUAAAUAUUGGCACGAGACCGAUAGCGAACAAGUACCGUGAGGGAAAGAUGAAAAGAACUUUGAAAAGAGAGUUAAAAAGUGCGUGAAACCGUUAGAGGGGAAACGGAUGCAGUUAGCAACGCCCCCGCGAGAUUCAGGUGGACCUGUCUGGCGAGCUGUGCAAUUGGUGGAUCUGAAUGGACCGUCGUUGCAUCGCCUCGUCUCUCGUCCGCCGCACUUCUCGCGAGGGUGCGUCAACAGCUGCUGGCACAUCGGUCUACACGGCACCUGCGGAAGGUAGGCGUCCGGCUCUGGCCGGGUGUUGUUAUAGCCGCUAGUGUCCCAGUCCGUCGCCGGCAGAGGUGAGCGGUGCAUGCUCGCUCGUUCGCGCGCGUGGGCUGGCGUCCUGUGGCGUUCUUCGAGUCCUCCGGGGUGCACUGCGUGCAGUGCAUCACUCAGGGUGAGGAGGCGUGCAGUCAACGCACACAAUGCACCAUGGUUGUUGGCGGCCAUAUGGCUUUAUCCGACCCGUCUUGAAACACGGAC
This 698-nucleotide ribosomal RNA is filed under the name Thysanostoma flagellatum. RNAcentral describes it as "partial large subunit ribosomal RNA". It matches the Rfam family "Eukaryotic large subunit ribosomal RNA", at positions 148 to 666 of the family's 3401-position model. The record is from RNAcentral. Lineage: Eukaryota; Metazoa; Cnidaria; Scyphozoa; Rhizostomeae; Thysanostomatidae.